RNAcentral lists this ribosomal RNA (375 nucleotides) under uncultured bacterium. RNAcentral describes it as "bacterial SSU rRNA". It matches the Rfam family "Bacterial small subunit ribosomal RNA", at positions 523 to 898 of the family's 1533-position model. The record is from RNAcentral.
AUACGUAGGGGGCGAGCGUUGUCCGGAUUUACUGGGCGUAAAGGGCGAGUAGGCGGUUUGUUAAGUCAGGUGUGAAAUUCCAGGGCUCAACUCUGGAACUGCGCUUGAAACUGGCAGGCUAGAGGACAGGAGAGGGAAGCGGAAUUCCCGGUGUAGCGGUGAAAUGCGUAGAUAUCGGGAGGAAUACCAGUGGCGAAGGCGGCUUCCUGGACUGAACCUGACGCUGAGGAGCGAAAGCUGGGGGAGCAAACAGGAUUAGAUACCCUGGUAGUCCCAGCCGUAAACUAUGAGUGCUAGGUGUGGGGGGCAACAACCCUCCGUGCCGGAGUUAACACAAUAAGCACUCCGCCUGGGGAGUACGGCCGCAAGGCUAAA